Molecule: ribosomal RNA, 1390 nt
Filed under: uncultured delta proteobacterium
Lineage: Bacteria; Deltaproteobacteria
Description: bacterial SSU rRNA
Rfam family: Bacterial small subunit ribosomal RNA
Source: RNAcentral
GAACGAGAAAAUUUACUUCGGUAGAUGAGUAAAGUGGCGAACGGGUGAGUAAUGCGUGGGUAAUCUACCCUAAAACCAGGAAUAACACUUCGAAAGAGGUGCUAAUACCUGAUAAUAUUCUUAUUUUUCAGGAAAUAAGAAUCAAAGAUGGCUUCAUAAAGCUAUCAUUUUAGGAUGAGCUCACGUACCAUUAGCUAGUUGGUGAGGUAAUGGCUCACCAAGGCUAUGAUGGUUAGCUGGUCUGAGAGGAUGAUCAGCCACACUGGCACUGAGACACGGGCCAGACUCCUACGGGAGGCAGCAGUGGGGAAUCUUGCGCAAUGGGGGAAACCCUGACGCAGCAACGCCGUGUGAGCGAUGAAGGCCUUCGGGUUGUAAAGCUCUGUCAGGUGGGAAGAAAUGUUUUUUUCUAAAUAGGAAAAAGAUUUGACGGUACUACCAAAGGAAGCACCGGCUAACUCCGUGCCAGCAGCCGCGGUAAUACGGGGGGUGCAAGCGUUAUUCGGAAUUAUUGGGCGUAAAGCGCGUGUAGGUGGUUUAGUAAGUCGAGUGUGAAAUGUCUUGGCUCAACCAAGAAACUGCAUUCGAUACUGCUAAUCUUGAGUACGGGAGAGGAGAGCGGAAUUCCCAGUGUAGAGGUGAAAUUCGUAGAUAUUGGGAGGAACGCCAGUGGCGAAGGCGGCUCUCUGGAACGAUACUGACGCUGAGACGCGAAAGCGUGGGGAGCAAACAGGAUUAGAUACCCUGGUAGUCCACGCCGUAAACGAUGGGCACUAGGUGUAGGGGGUGUUGACCCCCCCUGUGCCGAAAGCUAACGCAUUAAGUGCCCCGCCUGGGGAGUACGGCCGCAAGGCUAAAACUCAAAGGAAUUGACGGGGGCCCGCACAAGCGGUGGAGCAUGUGGUUUAAUUCGAUGCAACGCGAAGAACCUUACCUGGGUUUGACAUCCUCUGGAAAAUUGUCAAGAGACAAUUUGCUGCUUCGGCAGACCAGAAGACAGGUGCUGCAUGGCUGUCGUCAGCUCGUGUCGUGAGAUGUUGGGUUAAGUCCCGCAACGAGCGCAACCCUUGCCCUUAGUUGCCAUCAUUAAGUUGGGCACUCUAAGGGGACUGCCGGUGUUAAGCCGGAGGAAGGUGAGGAUGACGUCAAGUCCUCAUGGCCUUUAUGCCCAGGGCUACACACGUGCUACAAUGGCCGGUACAAAGGGCUGCUAUCCUGUGAGGGGGCGCUAAUCCCAAAAAGCCGGUCUCAGUUCGGAUUGGAGUCUGCAACUCGACUCCAUGAAGUCGGAAUCGCUAGUAAUUGUGGAUCAGAACGCCACGGUGAAUACGUUCCCGGGCCUUGUACACACCGCCCGUCACACCACGAAAGCUGAUUGUACCAGAAGUCG